Non-coding RNA from Pelobates cultripes (western spadefoot toad), 358 nucleotides. The record is from the annotation of a GenBank genome assembly. Lineage: Eukaryota; Metazoa; Chordata; Amphibia; Anura; Pelobatidae.
UUUUAAUUGUAUGAACAACAGAAUUUCUAACAAUUGUGGCACACGUUGGCUAAAUAAUAGGCAGGACCUGGUUUGUGGAUUAGGUUUUUUUGCUUCUGAAAAUCGAAUCUGUAUUUGUACAAAUGGGUUGUGAAAGGAUGUUUCAAAGCUUGGAUUUGUGUUUAGAUUAUUUUUUUUAAAGAGCCAACAAAUUCUGCAGCGCUGUACAAUGGGUUGCUAAGAAGCCUAUAAUAUUCCUUGUACGUAUCCCCUGUUGUGGCAAUAGCUCUGCCUCUACUCAACUUUGUCAAGUUAAAGGGACACUCCAGGCACCCAGACCCCUUCUGCCCAUUGGAGUGGUCUGGGUGCCAACUCUCAC